RNAcentral lists this transfer RNA (64 nucleotides) under Physella acuta. Its description in RNAcentral is "transfert RNA-H(CAC)". The record is from RNAcentral. Lineage: Eukaryota; Metazoa; Mollusca; Gastropoda; Physidae.
CCUUCUGUAGGUUAAAUUAAAUCACUAGUUUGUGGUACUAGAGAUAACUGUUAGUUCAAAAGGU